RNAcentral lists this ribosomal RNA (509 nucleotides) under bacterium enrichment culture clone ALO1_GLFRUDD03GVZ2G. Its description in RNAcentral is "bacterial SSU rRNA". It matches the Rfam family "Bacterial small subunit ribosomal RNA", at positions 9 to 511 of the family's 1533-position model. The record is from RNAcentral.
GAGUUUGAUCGUGGCUCAGAUUGAACGCUGGCGGCAUGCCUUACACAUGCAAGUCGAACGGCAGCACGGGAGCUUGCUCCUGGUGGCGAGUGGCGAACGGGUGAGUAAUGCAUCGGAACGUAUCCUGGAGUGGGGGGAUAACGUAGCGAAAGUUACGCUAAUACCGCAUAUUCUGUGAGCAGGAAAGCGGGGGACCUUCGGGCCUCGCGCUCUUGGAGCGGCCGAUGUCGGAUUAGCUAGUUGGUGAGGUAAAGGCUCACCAAGGCGACGAUCCGUAGCAGGUCUGAGAGGAUGAUCUGCCGCACUGGAACUGAGACACGGUCCAGACUCCUACGGGAGGCAGCAGUGGGAAUUUUGGACAAUGGGGGCAACCCUGAUCCAGCCAUGCCGCGUGAGUGAAGAAGGUCUUCGGGUUGUAAAGCUCUUUCGCGAGGGAAGAAAUUGCACCGGACAAUACCUGGUGUAGAUGACGGUACCUUGAUAAGAAGCACCGGCUAACUACGUGCCAG